This 934-nucleotide long non-coding RNA is filed under the name Homo sapiens (human). RNAcentral's name for it is "HSALNT0388616". The record is from RNAcentral. Lineage: Eukaryota; Metazoa; Chordata; Mammalia; Primates; Hominidae.
CGAGUAGCUGGGACUACAGGCGUCCGCCACCACGCCCAGAUCCCUAUCACGUCCUCGACUUUCCUGCAAGAGGCAGAUUAUUACAGUCCCCUGGGAGCCACUCAGGGGGAGUCUCAGGGCACAGAGGUUAUUUGAUUCAAUUACAAGAAAUCUGAUGAGUAUCUACAAGGAACUCAGAGCUGUGGGAGAAGAGAAAAAAGUGCAUGAAGUAAAGAAAAAGCAGGGAAUGAGAGAAAAAAAUGGAGGAGUGAGUGCCACAGCCCAGUCAGUAAGUGCUACGUAAGUGCCUGGAAGAGCGAGAGAGGGUGGGGACUAUGCUGGGAAGUCCAAGACGCAGGGUCUAUGUGGAUGGUAGCUAACACAAUAGUGGUCUCCCCCCAAGAAGCAAAGCAAUGGCAUAGAACUAAGAACUCUAACUCAAGACAGUUUUCCUGAAAUACAACAACUACAUUUUGAAAAUUACCAUAUUCCUGAGAAUAUUGACCCAGAAUGAUCAACACUGAGACAUAUUCUAGCAAAAUUUGGGGGCUUACAAAAAGGAAAAGAAAUCCUUUGGGCAAGAACCUGACCCCGAAAGUGAAUUCGAUUAUCAUCAGAUUUUUGACAACGAUGUUUUAUGCUAGAAAAAAAUGGAGUAACAUCUUUCAGACAGCCCCUUCCUACAGACUCUUGGAAAGAACUAGCUGUAGACAAGCAAAAUGGCUAGAGGACAGUGACACAGGGCUGGGGUUGAUAGUUACUCUAGAGCUAAGAUUAAAUGAGGGCUAAACCGGAGGCAGGACAGUGCAUAUGAUGGUUAUACGAUCUGACAAUGCAGAUAUAGGAUGACCACAAAAAUCGGGGGAAAUGGGAAAGCAUAUGAAGACAUUUUUUUGUUUGUUUUUGAGACAACCUGUUGCCCAGGCUGGAAUGCAAUGGUGGAUUCAUAACUCAC